GAGGGUAUAGCUCAAGUGGUAGAACACACGCUUAGCAUGCAUGUGGUCCCGGGUUCAAUCCCGAGUACCUCCU
RNAcentral lists this transfer RNA (73 nucleotides) under Camelus bactrianus (Bactrian camel). It matches the Rfam family "tRNA". Rfam says of the family: Transfer RNA (tRNA) molecules are approximately 80 nucleotides in length. Their secondary structure includes four short double-helical elements and three loops (D, anti-codon, and T loops). RNAcentral also lists the same sequence under 1 other name. Lineage: Eukaryota; Metazoa; Chordata; Mammalia; Artiodactyla; Camelidae. The record is from Rfam by way of RNAcentral.